RNAcentral lists this ribosomal RNA (433 nucleotides) under uncultured bacterium. RNAcentral describes it as "partial 16S ribosomal RNA". It matches the Rfam family "Bacterial small subunit ribosomal RNA", at positions 29 to 507 of the family's 1533-position model. The record is from RNAcentral.
AACGAACGCUGGCGGCAUGCCUAACACAUGCAAGUCGAACUAGACCUUCGGGUCUAGUGGCGCACGGGUGCGUAACGCGUGGGAACCUGCCCUUAGGUUCGGAAUAACUCCCCGAAAGGGGUGCUAAUACCGGAUAAUUUCUUCGGACCAAAGAUUUAUCGCCUUUGGAUGGGCCCGCGUUGGAUUAGCUAGUUGGUAGGGUAAAAGCCUACCAAGGCGACGAUCCAUAGCUGGUCUGAGAGGAUGAUCAGCCACACUGGGACUGAGACACGGCCCAGACUCCUACGGGAGGCAGCAGUGGGGAAUAUUGGACAAUGGGCGAAAGCCUGAUCCAGCAAUGCCGCGUGAGUGAUGAAGGCCUUAGGGUUGUAAAGCUCUUUUACCCGGGAUGAUAAUGACAGUACCGGGAGAAUAAGCUCCGGCUAACUCCGUG